UACAGAGGUCCCAAGCGUUGUUCGGAUUCACUGGGCGUAAAGGGUGCGUAGGUGGCCGGGAAAGUUUGAUGUGAAAGCUCGGAGCUCAACUCCGAAAUGGCAUUGAAUACUAUCUGGCUUGAGGGUCGGAGGGGAGACUGGAAUUCUCGGUGUAGCAGUGAAAUGCGUAGAUAUCGAGAGGAACACCAGUGGCGAAGGCGAGUCUCUGGACGACACCUGACACUGAGGCACGAAAGCUAGGGGAGCAAAC
This 250-nucleotide ribosomal RNA is filed under the name uncultured bacterium. RNAcentral describes it as "partial 16S ribosomal RNA". It matches the Rfam family "Bacterial small subunit ribosomal RNA", at positions 524 to 773 of the family's 1533-position model. The record is from RNAcentral.